This 253-nucleotide ribosomal RNA is filed under the name uncultured bacterium. Its description in RNAcentral is "partial 16S ribosomal RNA". It matches the Rfam family "Bacterial small subunit ribosomal RNA", at positions 524 to 776 of the family's 1533-position model. The record is from RNAcentral.
UACGGAGGGUGCAAGCGUUGUCCGGAUUUAUUGGGUUUAAAGGGCUCGUAGGCGGCCAACUAAGUCGGAUGUGAAAUCCCCAGGCUUAACCUGGGAACUGCAUCCGAUACUGGAUGGCUUGAAUCCGGGAGAGGGAUGCAGAAUUCCAGGUGUAGCGGUGAAAUGCGUAGAUAUCUGGAGGAAUACCGGUGGCGAAGGUGGCAUCCUGGACCGGCAUUGACGCUGAUGAGCGAAAGCUAGGGGAGCAAACGGG